GGUUAAGCGACUAAGCGUACACGGUGGAUGCCCUGGCAGUCAGAGGCGAUGAAGGACGUGCUAAUCUGCGAUAAGCGUCGGUAAGGUGAUAUGAACCGUUAUAACCGGCGAUUUCCGAAUGGGGAAACCCAGUGUGAUUCGUCACACUAUCAUUAACUGAAUCCAUAGGUUAAUGAGGCGAACCGGGGGAACUGAAACAUCUAAGUACCCCGAGGAAAAGAAAUCAACCGAGAUUCCCCCAGUAGCGGCGAGCGAACGGGGAGCAGCCCAGAGCCUGAAUCAGUGUGUGUGUUAGUGGAAGCGUCUGGAAAGGCGCGCGAUACAGGGUGACAGCCCCGUACACAAAAAUGCACAUAUUGUGAGCUCGAUGAGUAGGGCGGGACACGUGGUAUCCUGUCUGAAUAUGGGGGGACCAUCCUCCAAGGCUAAAUACUCCUGACUGACCGAUAGUGAACCAGUACCGUGAGGGAAAGGCGAAAAGAACCCCGGCGAGGGGAGUGAAAAAGAACCUGAAACCGUGUACGUACAAGCAGUGGGAGCACGCUUAGGCGUGUGACUGCGUACCUUUUGUAUAAUGGGUCAGCGACUUAUAUUCUGUAGCAAGGUUAACCGAAUAGGGGAGCCGAAGGGAAACCGAGUCUUAACUGGGCGUUAAGUUGCAGGGUAUAGACCCGAAACCCGGUGAUCUAGCCAUGGGCAGGUUGAAGGUUGGGUAACACUAACUGGAGGACCGAACCGACUAAUGUUGAAAAAUUAGCGGAUGACUUGUGGCUGGGGGUGAAAGGCCAAUCAAACCGGGAGAUAGCUGGUUCUCCCCGAAAGCUAUUUAGGUAGCGCCUCGUGAAUUCAUCUCCGGGGGUAGAGCACUGUUUCGGCAAGGGGGUCAUCCCGACUUACCAACCCGAUGCAAACUGCGAAUACCGGAGAAUGUUAUCACGGGAGACACACGGCGGGUGCUAACGUCCGUCGUGAAGAGGGAAACAACCCAGACCGCCAGCUAAGGUCCCAAAGUCAUGGUUAAGUGGGAAACGAUGUGGGAAGGCCCAGACAGCCAGGAUGUUGGCUUAGAAGCAGCCAUCAUUUAAAGAAAGCGUAAUAGCUCACUGGUCGAGUCGGCCUGCGCGGAAGAUGUAACGGGGCUAAACCAUGCACCGAAGCUGCGGCAGCGACACUAUGUGUUGUUGGGUAGGGGAGCGUUCUGUAAGCCUGUGAAGGUGUACUGUGAGGUAUGCUGGAGGUAUCAGAAGUGCGAAUGCUGACAUAAGUAACGAUAAAGCGGGUGAAAAGCCCGCUCGCCGGAAGACCAAGGGUUCCUGUCCAACGUUAAUCGGGGCAGGGUGAGUCGACCCCUAAGGCGAGGCCGAAAGGCGUAGUCGAUGGGAAACAGGUUAAUAUUCCUGUACUUGGUGUUACUGCGAAGGGGGGACGGAGAAGGCUAUGUUGGCCGGGCGACGGUUGUCCCGGUUUAAGCGUGUAGGCUGGUUUUCCAGGCAAAUCCGGAAAAUCAAGGCUGAGGCGUGAUGACGAGGCACUACGGUGCUGAAGCAACAAAUGCCCUGCUUCCAGGAAAAGCCUCUAAGCAUCAGGUAACAUCAAAUCGUACCCCAAACCGACACAGGUGGUCAGGUAGAGAAUACCAAGGCGCUUGAGAGAACUCGGGUGAAGGAACUAGGCAAAAUGGUGCCGUAACUUCGGGAGAAGGCACGCUGAUAUGUAGGUGAAGCGACUUGCUCGUGGAGCUGAAAUCAGUCGAAGAUACCAGCUGGCUGCAACUGUUUAUUAAAAACACAGCACUGUGCAAACACGAAAGUGGACGUAUACGGUGUGACGCCUGCCCGGUGCCGGAAGGUUAAUUGAUGGGGUUAGCGCAAGCGAAGCUCUUGAUCGAAGCCCCGGUAAACGGCGGCCGUAACUAUAACGGUCCUAAGGUAGCGAAAUUCCUUGUCGGGUAAGUUCCGACCUGCACGAAUGGCGUAAUGAUGGCCAGGCUGUCUCCACCCGAGACUCAGUGAAAUUGAACUCGCUGUGAAGAUGCAGUGUACCCGCGGCAAGACGGAAAGACCCCGUGAACCUUUACUAUAGCUUGACACUGAACAUUGAGCCUUGAUGUGUAGGAUAGGUGGGAGGCUUUGAAGUGUGGACGCCAGUCUGCAUGGAGCCGACCUUGAAAUACCACCCUUUAAUGUUUGAUGUUCUAACGUUGACCCGUGAUCCGGGUUGCGGACAGUGUCUGGUGGGUAGUUUGACUGGGGCGGUCUCCUCCUAAAGAGUAACGGAGGAGCACGAAGGUUGGCUAAUCCUGGUCGGACAUCAGGAGGUUAGUGCAAUGGCAUAAGCCAGCUUGACUGCGAGCGUGACGGCGCGAGCAGGUGCGAAAGCAGGUCAUAGUGAUCCGGUGGUUCUGAAUGGAAGGGCCAUCGCUCAACGGAUAAAAGGUACUCCGGGGAUAACAGGCUGAUACCGCCCAAGAGUUCAUAUCGACGGCGGUGUUUGGCACCUCGAUGUCGGCUCAUCACAUCCUGGGGCUGAAGUAGGUCCCAAGGGUAUGGCUGUUCGCCAUUUAAAGUGGUACGCGAGCUGGGUUUAGAACGUCGUGAGACAGUUCGGUCCCUAUCUGCCGUGGGCGCUGGAGAAUUGAGGGGGGCUGCUCCUAGUACGAGAGGACCGGAGUGGACGCAUCACUGGUGUUCGGGUUGUCAUGCCAAUGGCACUGCCCGGUAGCUAAAUGCGGAAGAGAUAAGUGCUGAAAGCAUCUAAGCACGAAACUUGCCCCGAGAUGAGUUCUCCCUGACUCCUUGAGAGUCCUGAAGGAACGUUGAAGACGACGACGUUGAUAGGCCGGGUGUGUAAGCGCAGCGAUGCGUUGAGCUAACCGGUACUAAUGAACCGUGAGGCUUAACCUUACAACGCCGAAGAUGUUUUG
Molecule: ribosomal RNA, 2923 nt
Filed under: Escherichia coli IS9
Lineage: Bacteria; Pseudomonadati; Pseudomonadota; Gammaproteobacteria; Enterobacterales; Enterobacteriaceae
Description: LSU rRNA
Rfam family: Bacterial large subunit ribosomal RNA
Source: RNAcentral